GUGGAGGGUUUGGAGCGGGAGGUGGUGUUGGAGGCGGUGCAGGUGGAGUAGGUGGAGGAGGUGGUGGUGGGGGUGGAGGCGGAGGUGGAGGAGGUGGUUUAGGGGGAGGAUCUGGCCAUGGUAGUGGAUUUGGUGCCGGAGGUGUUGGCGGUGGUGGAGGUGGAGGCGGAGGAGGUGGUGGCGGUGGAGGAGGAGGUUUAGGUGGUGGUUCGGGGCAUGGUGGUGGGUUCGGUGGUGGUGCUGGUGGAGGAUUGGGAGGCGGAGCUGGUGGUGGCCUAGGAGGUGGAGCUGGCGGAGGGCGUGGUGGAGGAGUUGGUGUAGGUAUCGGCAUUGGGAUUGGCGUGGGAGUAGGCGGUGGUUCCGGCUCAGGCACCGGCGUUGGGGUAGGCAGCGGCUCCGGCGGUGGAGGUGGCCGAUGAAGAUAAUUAUGUUAAAAUAUUUACUACAUAACUUUGGCUUCUUGAUGUUUCUCCUUUUCAAAAUAGAAUUAUAUCGUGUGUGAAAGUUGUAUUGCAACAGUUCCUCUUCAAUUAUAGCCUUCUUUAACAAACAAGAAACAGAAGGCAAGUAAAUUUAAUGAAUUGAAAAUUAUCUUUUCUUGAAUUAUCUUCAAC
This 614-nucleotide long non-coding RNA is filed under the name Salvia miltiorrhiza (redroot sage). Its description in RNAcentral is "long non-coding RNA (SMIL_LNC007276)". Lineage: Eukaryota; Viridiplantae; Streptophyta; Magnoliopsida; Lamiales; Lamiaceae. The record is from RNAcentral.